CAGGCAUGCAGUUAUCAGGCAUGCCGGUAUCAGGCACGUGGGCCUCAGGCACACAGGUAUCACGUGGGUAUCAGGCACGCAGUUAUCAGGCACGCGGGUGUCGGGCAGGCGGGCGUCGGGCAGGCGGGCGUCAGGCUGCUUGGCUUUGCCCCACCGCAGCUCAGUAAAGCUUUGUGCCUGUUUUGUGGUUUCUGUUGCUGUGUCUUCGGGUUCACUCAUCUUUUCUUCUGCAAUGUAUAAUCUGCUGUUCAUCCCACUCAGUAGUUUUCAUAGUUUUCACUUCCGCAAGUUGAGUUUGGAUCGUUUUAAAAAAUAUCUUUCGUGUUUCAGCUUAGAUUUAAUGUCUUGUCUGCUAAUUCU
RNAcentral lists this long non-coding RNA (360 nucleotides) under Homo sapiens (human). RNAcentral describes it as "non-protein coding lnc-PAOX-2:1". Lineage: Eukaryota; Metazoa; Chordata; Mammalia; Primates; Hominidae. The record is from RNAcentral.